UACGGAGGGUGCGAGCGUUGUCCGGAAUCACUGGGCGUAAAGGGCGCGUAGGUGGCUCGUGAAGCGUGCGGUGAAAGUCCGAGGCUCAACCUCGGAUCGGCCGUGCGGACUCGCGGGCUCGAGCGUUGUAGAGGCGGGUGGAAUUCCGGGUGUAGCGGUGGAAUGCGUAGAGAUCCGGAAGAACACCGGUGGCGAAGGCGGCUCACUGGCUCGUAACUGACGCUCAUGCACGACAGCGUGGGGAUCAAACAGG
RNAcentral lists this ribosomal RNA (253 nucleotides) under uncultured bacterium. Its description in RNAcentral is "partial 16S ribosomal RNA". It matches the Rfam family "Bacterial small subunit ribosomal RNA", at positions 524 to 776 of the family's 1533-position model. The record is from RNAcentral.